RNAcentral lists this ribosomal RNA (332 nucleotides) under uncultured bacterium. RNAcentral's name for it is "bacterial SSU rRNA". It matches the Rfam family "Bacterial small subunit ribosomal RNA", at positions 568 to 898 of the family's 1533-position model. The record is from RNAcentral.
CGCGUAGGCGGUCUUGUAAGUCCCGUGUGAAAUCCCUCGGCUCAACUGAGGAACUGCACGGGAAACUGCUUGGCUUGAGUUCGGGAGAGGGACGUGGAAUUCCGGGUGUAGCGGUGAAAUGCGUAGAUAUCCGGAGGAACACCGGUGGCGAAGGCGGCGUCCUGGACCGACACUGACGCUGAGGCGCGAAAGCUAGGGGAGCAAACGGGAUUAGAUACCCCGGUAGUCCUAGCUGUAAACGAUGAGUGCUGGGUGUAGGGGGUCUUAACCCCCCCUGUGCCGAAGCUAACGCAUUAAGCACUCCGCCUGGGGAGUACGGUCGCAAGGCUGAA